This 492-nucleotide ribosomal RNA is filed under the name uncultured bacterium. RNAcentral describes it as "partial 16S ribosomal RNA". It matches the Rfam family "Bacterial small subunit ribosomal RNA", at positions 29 to 507 of the family's 1533-position model. The record is from RNAcentral.
AUUGAACGCUGGCGGCGUGCUUUACACAUGCAAGUCGAACGGUAACAGGCCUUCGGGUGCUGACGAGUGGCGAACGGGUGAGUAAUGCAUCGGAACGUACCCAGAGGUGGGGGAUAACGCAGCGAAAGCUGUGCUAAUACCGCAUGCGAUCUGAGGAUGAAAGCGGGGGACCGAGAGGCAAUGUUUGGCCUCGCGCCUUUGGAGCGGCCGAUGUCGGGUUAGCUAGUUGGUGGGGUAAAGGCCUACCAAGGCGACGAUCCGUAGCUGGUCUGAGAGGACGACCAGCCACACUGGGACUGAGACACGGCCCAGACUCCUACGGGAGGCAGCAGUGGGGAAUUUUGGACAAUGGGCGCAAGCCUGAUCCAGCAAUGCCGCGUGCGGGAAGAAGGCCUUCGGGUUGUAAACCGCUUUUGGCAGGAACGAAACGGUUUCCGCUAAUACCGGGCGCUAAUGACGGUACCUGCAGAAUAAGCACCGGCUAACUACGUG